Molecule: ribosomal RNA, 274 nt
Filed under: uncultured bacterium
Lineage: Bacteria
Description: partial 16S ribosomal RNA
Rfam family: Bacterial small subunit ribosomal RNA
Source: RNAcentral
AGACGGAGGGUGCAAACGUUGUUCGGAAUUACUGGGCAUAAAGCGCACGUAGGCGGUCCGAUAAGUCAGUUGUGAAAGCCCUCGGCUCAACCGGGGAACUGCAAUUGAUACUGUCGGACUUGAGGGUGGUGGGGGUGAGUGGAACUUCUGGUGGAGCGGUGAAAUGCGUAGAUAUCAGAAGGAACACCAGUGGCGAAAGCGGCUCACUGGACCACAUCUGACGCUGAGGUGCGAAAGCUAGGGUAGCAAACAGGAUUAGAAACCCCAGUAGUCC